ACUCCUACGGGAGGCAGCAGUGGGGAAUUUUGGACAAUGGGCGAAAGCCUGAUCCAGCAAUGCCGCGUGUGUGAAGAAGGCCUUCGGGUUGUAAAGCACUUUUGUCCGGAAAGAAAUCCUUGGCUCUAAUACAGUCGGGGGAUGACGGUACCGGAAGAAUAAGCACCGGCUAACUACGUGCCAGCAGCCGCGGUAAUACGUAGGGUGCGAGCGUUAAUCGGAAUUACUGGGCGUAAAGCGUGCGCAGGCGGUUUGCUAAGACCGAUGUGAAAUCCCCGGGCUCAACCUGGGAACUGCAUUGGUGACUGGCAGGCUAGAGUAUGGCAGAGGGGGGUAGAAUUCCACGUGUAGCAGUGAAAUGCGUAGAGAUGUGGAGGAAUACCGAUGGCGAAGGCAGCCCCCUGGGCCAAUACUGACGCUCAUGCACGAAAGCGUGGGGAGCAAACAGGAUUAGAAACCCUAGUAGUCCC
Molecule: ribosomal RNA, 470 nt
Filed under: uncultured organism
Description: partial 16S ribosomal RNA
Rfam family: Bacterial small subunit ribosomal RNA
Source: RNAcentral